Molecule: ribosomal RNA, 1371 nt
Filed under: uncultured bacterium
Lineage: Bacteria
Description: bacterial SSU rRNA
Rfam family: Bacterial small subunit ribosomal RNA
Source: RNAcentral
GAUGAACGCUGGCGGCGUGCCUAAUACAUGCAAGUCGAGCGAACGGACGAGAAGCUUGCUUCUCUGAUGUUAGCGGCGGACGGGUGAGUAACACGUGGAUAACCUACCUAUAAGACUGGGAUAACUUCGGGAAACCGGAGCUAAUACCGGAUAAUAUUUUGAACCGCAUGGUUCAAAAGUGAAAGACGGUCUUGCUGUCACUUAUAGAUGGAUCCGCGCUGCAUUAGCUAGUUGGUAAGGUAACGGCUUACCAAGGCAACGAUGCAUAGCCGGCCUGAGAGGGUGAUCGGCCACACUGGAACUGAGACACGGUCCAGACUCCUACGGGAGGCAGCAGUAGGGAAUCUUCCGCAAUGGGCGAAAGCCUGACGGAGCAACGCCGCGUGAGUGAUGAAGGUCUUCGGAUCGUAAAACUCUGUUAUUAGGGAAGAACAUAUGUGUAAGUAACUGUGCACAUCUUGACGGUACCCUAUCAGAAAGCCACGGCUAACUACGUGCCAGCAGCCGCGGUAAUACGUANGUGGGCAGCGUUAUCCCGAAAUAUUGGGCGUNAAGCGCGCGUAGGCGGUUUUUUAGUCUGAUGUGAAAGCCCACGGCUCAACCGUGGAGGGUCAUUGGAAACUGGAAAACUUGAGUGCAGAAGAGGAAAGUGGAAUUCCAUGUGUAGCGGUGAAAUGCGCAGAGAUAUGGAGGAACACCAGUGGCGAAGGCGACUUUCUGGUCUGUAACUGACGCUGAUGUGCGAAAGCGUGGGGAUCAAACAGGAUUAGAUACCCUGGUAGUCCACGCCGUAAACGAUGAGUGCUAAGUGUUAGGGGGUUUCCGCCCCUUAGUGCUGCAGCUAACGCAUUAAGCACUCCGCCUGGGGAGUACGACCGCAAGGUUGAAACUCAAAGGAAUUGACGGGGACCCGCACAAGCGGUGGAGCAUGUGGUUUAAUUCGAAGCAACGCGAAGAACCUUACCAAAUCUUGACAUCCUUUGACAACUCUAGAGAUAGAGCCUUCCCCUUCGGGGGACAAAGUGACAGGUGGUGCAUGGUUGUCAUCAGCUCGUGUCGUGAGAUGUUGGGUUAAGUCCCGCAACGAGCGCAACCCUUAAGCUUAGUUGCCAUCAUUAAGUUGGGCACUCUAAGUUGACUGCCGGUGACAAACCGGAGGAAGGUGGGGAUGACGUCAAAUCAUCAUGCCCCUUAUGAUUUGGGCUACACACGUGCUACAAUGGACAAUACAAGGGGCAGCGAAACCGCGAGGUCAAGCAAAUCCCAUAAAGUUGUUCUCAGUUCGGAUUGUAGUCUGCAACUCGACUACAUGAAGCUGGAAUCGCUAGUAAUCGUAGAUCAGCAUGCUACGGUGAAUACGUUCCCGGGUCU